GUUAAGGUGGCAGAGCCCGGUAAUUGCGUAAAACUUAAACCUUUAUGAUCAGAGAUUCAAAUCCUCUCCUUAACA
This 75-nucleotide transfer RNA is filed under the name Moschus berezovskii (Chinese forest musk deer). RNAcentral's name for it is "tRNA-Leu". It matches the Rfam family "tRNA". Rfam says of the family: Transfer RNA (tRNA) molecules are approximately 80 nucleotides in length. Their secondary structure includes four short double-helical elements and three loops (D, anti-codon, and T loops). Further hydrogen bonds mediate the characteristic L-shaped molecular structure. tRNAs have two regions of fundamental functional importance: the anti-codon, which is responsible for specific mRNA codon recognition, and the 3' end, to which the tRNAs corresponding amino acid is attached (by aminoacyl-tRNA synthetases). tRNAs cope with the degeneracy of the genetic code in two manners: having more than one tRNA (with a specific anti-codon) for a particular amino acid; and 'wobble' base-pairing, i.e. permitting non-standard base-pairing at the 3rd anti-codon position. Lineage: Eukaryota; Metazoa; Chordata; Mammalia; Artiodactyla; Moschidae. RNAcentral also lists the same sequence under 3 other names. The record is from RNAcentral.